Molecule: long non-coding RNA, 1097 nt
Organism: Cavia porcellus (domestic guinea pig)
Lineage: Eukaryota; Metazoa; Chordata; Mammalia; Rodentia; Caviidae
Exons: 3
Source: RefSeq, a predicted model, not a curated record
CUUUAUGAAGGACAAGUAGGCGAUCUGACUUUGCUAUAAGUGUUCUGGCUCCUGUCCUCCCCAGCAGACCUCCUUCAUGUCCAAGCCAGGAAAAGUGGAUGGAAAUGCAGUGUUGAUGAGGAAUAGAAUAUCUGCAGAUAAAAAGAAACAAGAUGGAGUCAGUUCCCCUGCUCCCUAAUCUCAGAGCCUGUGAUCUGGAUGUCAGAGAGCACAGUACAGAGGAAAACCAAGAAUAAAGGUUGUAUACCACGAAGUACUCUCAGCCUUUGAAAGAGAAGAUGAAGUAAUAGGAAGCCUAACAAUAAGAGCUCUUUGGGUAUUAUUCCUCCUGGUUCCUGUGGAAGUGGUCCAAAGCCAUUUCAGAAUAUGAGUAAAAAUUAUUCUGAAAAACUGGACGUAUUUGGCAAACUAGCGCAAUAGGAGCAGACAGAGGAAUCGACUCUCCUGUUGGUUAAGUCGCGGGUAUAAGAAGCCUGUGCGAACUCCAGCCGAAUCUGGAACUCUCCGGAGCGGAAGCGCACUGCAAACCUUCGCUGUAUGAGGCUCCUGGGGGAGGAGACAGUGGCCCACAUAACUGCAAGUCCCCUCCAUAAACACAGGAAAAAUAAAAAUAAUGAAACAGGAAAACCAAAGAAAGAACAACACAAUCCUGCAGAGAGGCUGAGGGCCCGGCCUUUUCUACUUGGACUCAUUUCCCAGGGACACUGUUGGGAACUGGAAAAUACUUUCCAGUCAUUUUCCAGGGGCUGCUGAGCAAUUUUCCUCCAUCAAGAAGCAGUGCGAGCUUUGCUGAUUCUAUGAAUCAGGGGCACGGAGGGCCUUUUUGCGGUCCAAAAUUGAAGGCGCUAUGACCUUGCGAAUUGAUUGAAGUUUACUAAUUUUCAAUUGAUGACACAUUGACAGCAGCAUCAGGUGGUAAAAAUACAUCGACCUGGAGUGUGUUUUUUUUUUCUCACCCCAGACUCAUUGUUGAAGUUGACAAGUAAAUGGGUUUCUGGUAAACACUUGUCCCAUUUUUCAAUCUGAACACUAAAUUGGUAUGUAGCAAUAAUGGGAGGGUAAUUACAGGAGUCCGAAGGAUCUUAAGUCUGGCGAAA